Molecule: ribosomal RNA, 493 nt
Filed under: uncultured bacterium
Lineage: Bacteria
Description: partial 16S ribosomal RNA
Rfam family: Bacterial small subunit ribosomal RNA
Source: RNAcentral
CGAACGCUGGCGGCGUGCCUAAUACAUGCAAGUAGAACGCUGAAGGAGGAGCUUGCUUCUCUGGAUGAGUUGCGAACGGGUGAGUAACGCGUAGGUAACCUGCCUGGUAGCGGGGGAUAACUAUUGGAAACGAUAGCUAAUACCGCAUAAGAGUAGAUGUUGCAUGACAUUUGCUUAAAAGGUGCAAUUGCAUCACUACCAGAUGGACCUGCGUUGUAUUAGCUAGUUGGUGGGGUAACGGCUCACCAAGGCGACGAUACAUAGCCGACCUGAGAGGGUGGUCGGCCACACUGGGACUGGGACACGGCCCAGACUCCUACGGGAGGCAGCAGUAGGGAAUCUUCGGCAAUGGACGGAAGUCUGACCGAGCAACGCCGCGUGAGGGAAGGAGGGUUUCGGAUCGUAAAGCUCUGUUGUAAGAGAAGAACGAGUGUGAGAGUGGAAAGUUCACACUGUGACGGUAUCUUACCAGAAAGGGACGGCUAACUACGUG